Molecule: ribosomal RNA, 301 nt
Filed under: uncultured bacterium
Lineage: Bacteria
Description: partial 16S ribosomal RNA
Rfam family: Bacterial small subunit ribosomal RNA
Source: RNAcentral
CAGCCGCCACGGUAAUACGUAGGGUGCGAGCGUUAAUCGGAAUUACUGGGCGUAAAGCGUGCGCAGGCGGUUUAACAAGUUAGUGGUGAAAGGCAUAGGCUCAGCCAAUGUAAGCCAUUAAAACUGUUUAACUUGAGUGCAGGAGAGGAAAGUGGAAUUCCUAGUGUUGCGGUGAAAUGCGUAGAUAUUAGGAGGAAUACCAGUGGCGAAGGCGACUUUCUGGACUGCAACUGACACUGAGGCACGAAAGCGUGGGGAGCAAACAGGAUUAGAUACCCCCGUAGUCCCUGUCUCUUAUACA